UACGUAGGGGCAAGCGUUGUCCGGAAUUAUUGGGCGUAAAGAGCUCGUAGGCGGCUCAGCAAGUCGGCUGUGAAAUCCGGAGGCUCAACCUCGGAACUGCAGUCGAUACUGCUGUGGCUAGAGUCUGGUAGAGGAGAAUGGAAUUCCCGGUGUAGCGGUGAAAUGCGCAGAUAUCGGGAGGAACACCAGUAGCGAAGGCGGUUCUCUGGGCCAGUACUGACGCUGAGGAGCGAAAGCGUGGGUAGCAAACAGGAUUAGA
Molecule: ribosomal RNA, 259 nt
Filed under: uncultured prokaryote
Description: partial 16S ribosomal RNA
Rfam family: Bacterial small subunit ribosomal RNA
Source: RNAcentral